CUGGCUUUUCCUGGUCCAGUAAAAUACAGUUCUCUAAGGUUGUAGAGGUACUGCCUUGGUGAUCUUGGAUAUGAUCCAGAAGAAUUCUCUGGAUUACCAGAUUCAACUACAAAGAAAGAAUUAUGAACGGAAGCUCUACUACUUCAUAAAGAAGAAGAGGCCUUGAUUAAUAAAUAACCUGACACCCUUCAGAUGUUGCACAGGGAAAAACGGAGUGCCCCAAUUUCUGGGAGUCACUGUACUUCACUUACCCUGGGGCCUGUUUUACAGGCAUUUGCCUGCUUAGUUAAUUGUAGUUAUUCCCAAAAUAAACCCCAUUUUGUGUGGGACUCUUCUAUUCUGAGGGAAUGAUGUAAGCAAGAAUAUUGGCUGGAGUAUCUUGAAUAUCUGUGAUGGAUGGCUCCUCAGAAUGAAUCCUAAAUCUCCAAGGGACCCCUUUUAUCUUGUGAUUUUGCUCACAGGUUCUAAGCUGCUGCUGGGAAGGGUUCCAGUUCUAUAUUCUCUGUCUUCUGGAAGCACUGAUGAAAUCACUCAGCUGCUAUCCGCUUCCAUCUCUCACUAAGCACCUCUUGGCUCUCCUUCGUCCCCACAGACUGAAAGCAUGGAGGUGACUAAUGAGAUGUGUCUUCCCCUUCAAAUUGUUCACAAGUCCCACAUGACCUUUGGCAGGCAGGGGUUCUACCGUGGUGCUUCUGACUGUGGAUAAGGGGAAACUACGUGCUCACCACGGCUUGCUAUUUCUCCUUGCUCCCGUGACCAGUGCGGCAGCUCUGUUAAAUGGUCAGGCACGGUUUGUUGGUGGCUCCCAAACAAUCCAUCAGCAGUGGACGCAUUAUAGAAAACAUGGCUUUGAGUCUUAGCUUAAACUAUAUUUAUGUAGCGUGACAGUAGGAGAAAUAUCUAAUCGUGCUUGGAUUACAAUUCAAACAAAGGCCUCAUGACUGGCUUGCAGAUGCCGGGGUCCACACACCGUUUUCCAGAGAAGUCAAGAUGGGAGAGGGUGUGAUCUGUUCUGUCAUGAACAGUUCUGUUUCCAGACCAUUUCUCCAAGUCACUGAAGGCCCAUUUCUGGGGAAAUGAUUACUAAACUGAUGAUUAUUUUCUUUGUAUUGCUGGCUAUUCUCAACUUCAGGGAAAAUGUAAGGUAGCUGUGGAGUUUAAGGAAAAAAAAAUGUGUACACAAAAUGAGAAGCCACAUCUGCCUGUAGCACUAGCAAAAAUCAAAGAAGUCUGGCUUAUUUCAACACCAGCCACCUCAAAACCAAAUUAGUAUUUGAAUCAAAUUAAUGUAUUUGACUCAAUCACCUAAAAAAUAGCUGUUGGAUGAAAAAAUAAAAGAGAAAAUAGUGUCUAAUUAGUGACUGGCCAUUUUCAAAGUGGCUUCUCCUACAUUAUCUCAUUUUUUAAAAAGUAAAUUUGAUCUUUUUAAAUGUUAGAGUGAAGUGGUUCACAAUUGCUUGAAAUAAGCAAAGGACAUUAUAUUUAUAAGCAUGCAAAUUACAAACCAGGCAAAACAGUCUCUUCUGCUGCUUUAUAUAUUUUUGUCAACCAUCAUAGAUUCAUGGAAAGGUCUCAAAUAGAUAGAACAAAA
Long non-coding RNA from Macaca mulatta (Rhesus monkey), 1591 nucleotides. NCBI's taxonomy places the organism in Eukaryota, Metazoa, Chordata, Mammalia, Primates, Cercopithecidae. The record is from Ensembl.